This 98-nucleotide signal recognition particle RNA is filed under the name Rhodospirillum rubrum. RNAcentral's name for it is "signal recognition particle sRNA small type". It matches the Rfam family "Bacterial small signal recognition particle RNA". From Rfam's summary of the family: The signal recognition particle (SRP) is a universally conserved ribonucleoprotein involved in the co-translational targeting of proteins to membranes. Archaeal SRP consists of a 7S RNA and homologues of the eukaryotic SRP19 and SRP54 proteins. In most bacteria, the SRP consists of a 4.5S RNA and the Ffh protein (a homologue of the eukaryotic SRP54 protein). Lineage: Bacteria; Pseudomonadati; Pseudomonadota; Alphaproteobacteria; Rhodospirillales; Rhodospirillaceae. The record is from RNAcentral.
UGGAAGGCUGGCGUGGGCGUGGCUCUCGCCAACCCGGUCAGGUCCGGAAGGAAGCAGCCGUAACGAGUUCGUCGCGGGUCGCGUCCAGUCUUCCACCU